Molecule: transfer RNA, 76 nt
Filed under: Mycoplasma testudineum
Lineage: Bacteria; Bacillati; Mycoplasmatota; Mollicutes; Mycoplasmatales; Mycoplasmataceae
Description: tRNA-His
Rfam family: tRNA
About the family: Transfer RNA (tRNA) molecules are approximately 80 nucleotides in length. Their secondary structure includes four short double-helical elements and three loops (D, anti-codon, and T loops).
Source: RNAcentral
GUGAAUAUGGCGAAGUGGUUAACGCAUCUGGUUGUGGUUCAGACACGCGCGGGUUCGAUCCCCGUUAUUCACCCCA